This 494-nucleotide ribosomal RNA is filed under the name uncultured bacterium. Its description in RNAcentral is "partial 16S ribosomal RNA". It matches the Rfam family "Bacterial small subunit ribosomal RNA", at positions 28 to 507 of the family's 1533-position model. The record is from RNAcentral.
GACGAACGCUGGCGGCGUGCUUAACACAUGCGAGUCGAACGGAAAGGCCUGCUUUCCCUUGUGGAUUGCGGGUACUCGAGUGGCGAACGGGUGAGUAACACGUGAGUGAUCUGCCCCCAACUUGGGUAUAAGCCUGGGAAACUGGGUCUAAUUCCCGAUAGGACUGCAGGGUGGUGCCUGUGGUGGAAAACGAUUUUCUAGUGGUUGGGGAUGAGCUCGCGGCCUAUCAGCUUGUUGGUGGGGUAAUGGCCUACCAAGGCGGCGACGGGUAGCCGGCCUGAGAGGGUGGACGGCCACAUUGGGACUGAGAUACGGCCCAGACUCCUACGGGAGGCAGCAGUGGGGAAUAUUGCACAAUGGGCGGAAGCCUGAUGCAGCGACGCCGCGUAGGGGAUGACGGCCUUCGGGUUGUAAACUCCUUUCGACCGCGAGGAAGCCACCUGGUUGGAAGGGUGGUGACGGUAGUGGUAGAAGAAGCACCGGCUAACUACGUG